RNAcentral lists this unclassified non-coding RNA (870 nucleotides) under Homarus americanus (American lobster). RNAcentral describes it as "uncharacterized LOC121868385, transcript variant X1". The record is from RNAcentral. Lineage: Eukaryota; Metazoa; Arthropoda; Malacostraca; Decapoda; Nephropidae.
CUGCAUGUCAACACAGCCAGCCAGCUUUAAACCAUAAUUAAAGGCUAAACAAAACAAGUACGGUCACACAAAGAAUCUUGUGACUGUCCUCCCAAAGCCUUUAACUACUCUUCAUAAUAUAAGAGGCAGUCAAAGUUGACUUGCAACAAUACAAAGUAAUUUUUUAAAGGCAGUGAUCAACACAUGAGAAGCUAUACUUUUAUCUCAAUCCCUCGAAGAUCCGGACCUGGAAAAUCCUGAUUUUGGAAUAUUUGGACAAAAUUUGGGGGUUCCGGAGGUCCAUGCGAGCGGAAGAAUUCCUGAAGCCGCAUUUUCAACAUCAAGAAAUACAAUUUGAAAUCAGCCAUAUUCAACUUUGCUGCUUCAUGGAAGAACGUCACGAUAUCCACUUAAGCUUACAGUUGGAAGAAACUUCAGCUUGGUACUGAGCCUGAACUUGACUUUGAGGGAUUUUCAUCGUGUAUUACACCGUGGUGGAGAAAAUAAUAUGACGAUGGAGGAUGUGGAGACGUGGUUGGAAAAGAAAGAGGAUGAUCCAGGUUACCAGAUGCUUUCAGCUGAGGAAAGUGCUGAUGCUGUUCGCGCUGGUGAUAAAGAGGACAACACGAAGAGCAGUGACGAAGAUGAGUUGCCUGUGAAGAUUCCUAGGGUUAAGUUGUCUGUUGUACGAGAGUCGCUCGACACCAUCUUAACUUAUAUUGACAGCACAUCCAGUCCUCAAAUACAAGACUAUUACGAACACCUUCGGACUCUUAGAGAACUUAUUAUCAGGGAGCAGCACAAUGCAUGGGAGCAACUUAAGAUGGACUCCUCCGUCAAACCUGUUACUGGUUCCCCUCCUGCCUCCCAGCCAAGCCAAACCAAGGGGCA